AAACAUAACAUCACAUGAUUUUAUGACACAUUAUUGUCCAAACACAACACAAUAGUGUCUAUUUUGUUGCCAUUCUGCAAAUAUUUGGUUAGUUAGCUAAUCUUCCCAAUCAUUCCAAGCACUUGAUGUCUCAAUUAUGAUGAUAUUAUCCUCAAGCAACUGACAAGUGGUCUCAAAGUCCUCAUCUCUCAAGUCUGCUUCUAUCGGAUAAAUAUUUUUCUUUCUAAUGAAAUUAUGGAGUAAACAACAAGCAAUGAUGAUCCAACAGA
Molecule: long non-coding RNA, 269 nt
Filed under: Elaeis guineensis (African oil palm)
Lineage: Eukaryota; Viridiplantae; Streptophyta; Magnoliopsida; Arecales; Arecaceae
Description: long non-coding RNA (EGUI_LNC035469)
Source: RNAcentral